ACCACUCAAUUAAUCAUUUUGAUAUUAAAGUGAUAUCCAUCGUCUCCUUGCCAAGACAUCCGCGGGUAUUGUAACGCGUCAUAUAAACGGUGUGUUUCAUAUAUUCUUUGUAGUUGCCCAGUAUUGCGUCGUGUAAAUACAAUAUCACGUGUUUCCAAGUUUUCACCAACAAUCAGGAUUGCCACUUCAUCGAUUGUUGGAGCAUAAAAUGUACGUUCAUGUGUUCCAGCUGGUCUUUUAUUUGCUCUGAUCACAACGUUAUAGUCUUAACUUGGCAUGCGCUCUAAAGCAGUCUUGAACAGCCUGACCAAUGCAUGAUGUUCAUGAAUCAUUUGCUGCAGAUCUUGGAGAAUUGCUCUUUUCGUAGCUGUGUUGAUCCCUUGACGCCGGUCAAGUUGUUCUUCCAUAUUACCCAUGAAGUAUAUUUGCAAGAAUUUAUGCUGUGCAUCUUCUAUACGUUGCAAUGAUCCACGGCGAUGGUAAGUCUGGCCUUUAAUCUGUAAAGUCAAAACCAUAGUUAUAGUUAGACUUUCUUUUAUAUAUAUAGAUAAGAUUACCUUAAAUGUCGGAUUAUAUCUGUGUUCUUCGAUAAUUUCCGCCGCAAAUGAAGUCAUUUGGAAACAGACAUUGUCUUUUUGAGUGUUCGCUAGAAAAUGUCGUUAUUCUAGUGUUUCGCCAUAAAGCACUAAGACAGCACAAACCAGGCGUUUCACCAGCAAACUUCAAUGCUCCACAAUGCUGGCAAGCAACGUCCAUUGGACCAAUGCAAACUAAACGAUGCAAGCUGUAGUCGACGGUGCAAUCAUACAGAAACGCUGCUCGAUUCAAAUCAAUACUUGAACCAUUUCUUCUUGCACUUCGAAGAUUAUUCCUCUGUUCAUCUGUA
This 886-nucleotide long non-coding RNA is filed under the name Drosophila guanche. Lineage: Eukaryota; Metazoa; Arthropoda; Insecta; Diptera; Drosophilidae. The record is from RNAcentral.